CGACGCAGCCAUGCCGCGUGAAUGAUGAAGGUCUUAGGAUUGUAAAAUUCUUUCACCGGGGACGAUAAUGACGGUACCCGGAGAAGAAGCCCCGGCUAACUUCGUGCCAGCAGCCGCGGUAAUACGAAGGGGGCUAGCGUUGCUCGGAAUUACUGGGCGUAAAGGGCGCGUAGGCGGAUCGUUAAGUCAGAGGUGAAAUCCCGGAGCUCAACUUCGGAACUGCCUUUGAUACUGGCGAUCUUGAGUGUGAGAGAGGUAUGUGGAACUCCGAGUGUAGAGGUGAAAUUCGUAGAUAUUCGGAAGAACACCAGUGGCGAAGGCGACAUACUGGCUCAUUACUGACGCUGAGGCGCGAAAGCGUGGGGAGCAAACAGGAUUAGAUACCCUGGUAGUCCACGCCGUAAACGAUGAUUGCUAGUUGUCGGGCUGCAUGCAGUUCGGUGACGCAGCUAACGCAUUAAGCAAUCCGCCUGGGGAGUACGGUCGCAAGAUUA
RNAcentral lists this ribosomal RNA (494 nucleotides) under uncultured Pseudomonadota bacterium. RNAcentral's name for it is "bacterial SSU rRNA". It matches the Rfam family "Bacterial small subunit ribosomal RNA", at positions 384 to 896 of the family's 1533-position model. Lineage: Bacteria; Pseudomonadati; Pseudomonadota. The record is from RNAcentral.